Molecule: ribosomal RNA, 1003 nt
Filed under: uncultured bacterium
Lineage: Bacteria
Description: bacterial SSU rRNA
Rfam family: Bacterial small subunit ribosomal RNA
Source: RNAcentral
UCGGGAAUAUUGCGCAAUGGAGGAAACUCUGACGCAGUGACGCCGCGUAUAGGAAGAAGGUUUUCGGAUUGUAAACUAUUGUCGUUAGGGAAGAUACAAGACAGUACCUAAGGAGGAAGCUCCGGCUAACUACGUGCCAGCAGCCGCGGUAAUACGUAGGGAGCAAGCGUUAUCCGGAUUUAUUGGGUGUAAAGGGUGCGUAGACGGGAAAGCAAGUUAGUUGUGAAAUCCCUCGGCUUAACUGAGGAACUGCAACUAAAACUACUUUUCUUGAGUGUUGGAGAGGAAAGUGGAAUUCCUAGUGUAGCGGUGAAAUGCGUAGAUAUUAGGAGGAACACCGGUGGCGAAGGCGACUUUCUGGACAAUAACUGACGUUGAGGCACGAAAGUGUGGGGAGCAAACAGGAUUAGAUACCCUGGUAGUCCACACCGUAAACGAUGGAUACUAGGUGUAGGGAACAUUAAGUUUUCUGUGCCGUCGCAAACGCAAUAAGUAUCCCACCUGGGGAGUACGGCCGCAAGGUUGAAACUCAAAGGAAUUGACGGGGGCCCGCACAAGCAGUGGAGUAUGUGGUUUAAUUCGACGCAACGCGAAGAACCUUACCAGGGCUUGACAUACAGAUGAAUAUACUAGAGAUAGUAUAGCUCUUCGGAGCAUCUGUACAGGUGGUGCAUGGUUGUCGUCAGCUCGUGUCGUGAGAUGUUAGGUUAAGUCCUGCAACGAGCGCAACCCCUGUGAUUAGUUGCCAACAGGUAAAGCUGGGAACUCUAAUCAGACUGCCGGUGAUAAAUCGGAGGAAGGUGGGGAUGACGUCAAAUCAUCAUGCCCUUUAUGUCCUGGGCUACACACGUACUACAAUGGCUGUAACAGAGAGAAGCAAAACAGUGAUGUUGAGCAAAACUUUAAAAAGCAGUCUCAGUUCGGAUUGAAGGCUGAAAUUCGCCUUCAUGAAGCCGGAAUUGCUAGUAAUGGCAGGUCAGCAUACUGCCGUGAAUACGUUCCC